Molecule: ribosomal RNA, 434 nt
Filed under: uncultured Roseburia sp.
Lineage: Bacteria; Bacillati; Bacillota; Clostridia; Lachnospirales; Lachnospiraceae
Description: partial 16S ribosomal RNA
Rfam family: Bacterial small subunit ribosomal RNA
Source: RNAcentral
ACGGAAGGCAGCAGUGGGGAAUAUUGCACAAUGGGCGAAAGCCUGAUGCAGCGACGCCGCGUGAGUGAUGAAGUAUUUCGGUAUGUAAAGCUCUAUCAGCAGGGAAGAUAAUGACGGUACCUGACUAAGAAGCACCGGCUAAAUACGUGCCAGCAGCCGCGGUAAUACGUAUGGUGCAAGCGUUAUCCGGAUUUACUGGGUGUAAAGGGAGCGCAGGCGGUACGGCAAGUCUGAUGUGAAAGCCCGGGGCUCAACCCCGGUACUGCAUUGGAAACUGUCGAACUAGAGUGUCGGGGGGGUAAGUGGAAUUCCUAGUGUAGCGGUGAAAUGCGUAGAUAUUAGGAGGAACACCAGUGGCGAAGGCGACUUACUGGACGAUAACUGACGCUGAGGCUCGAAAGCGUGGGGAGCAAACAGGAUUAGAUACCCUGGUA